AUGCUACACAGCCCCUACAGUAAGAUGCAACAAACGAGAGCCAAACUAACAAUCUUAACCAAACAGGUUCCAACACAAGAAGUAAAGGCAGGACAAACAGGUCCGUCUUAUGUCUUCCGUUUUUGCUAUGCUGAUGUAUUGACCAGCCUGGACUAUAUUGGUUUGGAAACUACCUCAUUAACACAUAUUGACCCAGCUUGUACUAGUCACUGGAGCACAUGCCCCCACCACACUACCCUCUCAAUUGUGUGCUCUACUCACCUCCCGAUUGAAUCCCCUUCUCCAAAAUCCCUUGCCAAGUUCAGUGAGUCAGGCGAGGCUGCAGCACAAGCUUCCUUGGUACGGACGUGGCAUGUGUAA
This 360-nucleotide ribosomal RNA is filed under the name Triticum aestivum (bread wheat). Its description in RNAcentral is "partial small subunit ribosomal RNA". The record is from RNAcentral. Lineage: Eukaryota; Viridiplantae; Streptophyta; Magnoliopsida; Poales; Poaceae.